UACGUAGGGUGCAAGCGUUGUCCGGAAUUAUUGGGCGUAAAGAGCUCGUAGGCGGUUUGUCGCGUCUGCUGUGAAAUCCCGAGGCUCAACCUCGGGCCUGCAGUGGGUACGGGCAGACUGGAGUGCGGUAGGGGAGAAUGGAAUUCCUGGUGUAGCGGUGGAAUGCGCAGAUAUCAAGAGGAACACCUGCGGCGAAGGCGGGUUGCUGGGCCGACACUGACGCUGAGGCGCGAAAGCUAGGGGAGCGAACGGG
Molecule: ribosomal RNA, 253 nt
Filed under: uncultured bacterium
Lineage: Bacteria
Description: partial 16S ribosomal RNA
Rfam family: Bacterial small subunit ribosomal RNA
Source: RNAcentral